AUGACACAGAUUCACAUCAAGAUAAAGAUGAUGUGCAAAGAAAACCCAUGCCCCCAAAGAGAUUACAGCCACUCCUCCAGACAGAUCCAGCAGGAAUAACCACAAAAGUCACCUUGGGGCCACUUAAUAGAACAGGUGGCUGCCGCCUGGUGAUGAUGGCCGUAUGAGCCCCACCAUGGCCCACUGGAAGCGUCAGAGCACAGUGAGCAGCCUGCUAGACCACAGGGUGAGACCGGGCCUGGAGCCCAAGAGCAAGGACGUGGAGGAACUAGCCCUGGAAGAGUACAUGCCCACUGGACUGGAGCUAGCGGCCCUGUGGCCUGAGAGGCCGUUGCCUGCCCAGAAGGGCGGCCCUGAUGGGUACUUUGGCUCCAACUAGAGUAAACAACACCUCGGAGGAGGAGGACUAUGACGAGGGCUGCCUGAAGAGGAGGGCAUCACCUAUUACAUCCGCUACUGCCCCAAGGACAACAGCUACCUGCAGGGGAUGGACUGCAACAGGCAGGGCUACUUGGCCCACCUAGAGAUGCCAUCUGGAGAUGGAUGAGUGCCAGGAGGUGGUGGAGGAGUGGACAGAGCCAGGGCCAGCGACUCCCCAGAGGUCUGCCCACUUGCCAAGUCUGGCCGUGGCCCCAGCAGACACAAGGGCAGGCCCAAGUUGCUGAACCUCCCUCGAGGCCAAGCAUCCUGCCGAUGCCCAGAGGAGCUUCAAGACCAGGACCCAGGAAGAGAGGCCUAAGUGGCCCCAAGAGGAGGACACUGGGCUGCACUCUGAGAAGUUCCUGGAUCUCCCCUGGACCUGACCAUCAUGUGGCCAGAGAAAUUGGGCACACGGAUCAGGUGAAAAGCCAAUGGGCAGCAAGUGAAGUUGCUGCUGUGAUCUCCUUCCAGUCGACCGUGCCUCCUCAGCAGAGACCAGACCUGCCCCUCGUCUCCCAGCCCUGCGCCUGGUGUGUGUUUUGUCAACACUUCAGUGGAACAAGAAAGGACCAAGCCUGCAAGAACCAAGACUCAUCCCAACCUCGGGCACUGCUCCCUGCUGAAACGCCUAGGAGGCUGCACUCUCAAAAAAGAGACUUCAGCUAG
RNAcentral lists this long non-coding RNA (1086 nucleotides) under Bos indicus x Bos taurus (hybrid cattle). RNAcentral's name for it is "lncRNA (ENSBIXG00000013537.1)". The record is from RNAcentral. Lineage: Eukaryota; Metazoa; Chordata; Mammalia; Artiodactyla; Bovidae.